Molecule: long non-coding RNA, 468 nt
Filed under: Oryza sativa tropical japonica subgroup
Lineage: Eukaryota; Viridiplantae; Streptophyta; Magnoliopsida; Poales; Poaceae
Description: lncRNA OsKeNa_10g0010140
Source: RNAcentral
AUGAAGCCUAUGGUUGACAGUAGCGGUGGCGGCGGCCCGUCGUUCUCUGGCCAUUCACUGUCGUCGCCCGACGCCGAAAGCGCGAAGCCCGAGCCUCCGCACGACAGCGGCGCAAGGGCGUCGUUGGAGCAAGUCACUGUCGACCACACCAAGCCGCCCGACUCUGGAAGCGCGAAGCCGGUCACCGUCGACCACAAGUCGGCAACGUCCGAUUCUUCUACCGGCACGGAGUCUGACGGUGGAGGCGAGCCAUCGUCGGCGUCAUCCUCGCUGCCGGCGGCGGCGCACCCGUUCGCGCGCGCGCUCGCGGUGGUGGACGGUGUUGCCUCCGUCGCCGUAUCCUCGGAUGAACUUGCAACGAACGAAGAAGGGUCGAAGAUUGAUGGAGAACAGAAACCACCUGUCCCGACAAAUUUUGCAAAGUUUGUUGGUCGAUCUGUGACGUCUGGGUUAGAUGAUGCAAGCAUG